AUGAGAAGCUGCCAAACAUAAAUGAGCAACUCAAAUUGCAACUAAGAAAUACCUGUGCAUCAUGGAGUUAAAUCUCACAGAAAAUUUAAAAUCCAGGGACAACAUAUCCAAUCAACAAAAAAUUAAUAGCAAAACAUAAUUGAUAGUUCCUCUAAGCUUAGAGCUACAUAUAGAAUCUUAAAAAACGAAAAGAAGAUGCUCACUUCAAUAUAAAGAACAUUUAAUCAUUUCACAUAAAAAUAAUGUUUUAGCAAUUUGGCAUCUAUAAUGAAGAUGCUAAUUCAAGGAAAUUGGACUAUAAAAUUAUUGGUCAAUAACAUGAAUGAGAAGUUUGCUUGAUUAAGUUUUAGCUUAAAAGGAGAGGUCAAGAAGCAAAUAAUUGUUUCAAAGAUCUUGAUCAGAAGCCAGAUUUGUACCUAUUGGACCACAAAAGAGGGACAAUCUCCGUAUUCAUCAAAUCACAUUUGCAAACUCUCCAAAAUUCACCUUCUA
Molecule: unclassified non-coding RNA, 492 nt
Filed under: Hevea brasiliensis (rubber tree)
Lineage: Eukaryota; Viridiplantae; Streptophyta; Magnoliopsida; Malpighiales; Euphorbiaceae
Source: RNAcentral